GUUGCGGUGCGCGGGCUUUUCAUUGCGGUGGCUUCUCUUGCUGUGGAGCACGGGCUCCAGGCGCGCAGGCUUCACUAGUUGUGGUCUGUGGGCUCAGUAGUUGUGGCUUUCGGGCUGUAGAGCGCAGGCUUGGUAGUUGUGGCGCACGGGCCUAGUUGCUCCGUGGCAUGUGGGAUCUUCCAGGACCAGGGAUUGAACCCAUGUCCCCUGCAUUGGCAGGCAGAUUCUUAACCACUGAGCCACCAGGGAAGUCCCAAGGACAGUGUUUCUUAAAGAGUGAUCCAUGAUCAAUCCUGGAGGGUCGGUAAAAGCUGCAGAUUCCAAAGACCGGAGUGAUUCAGGAUUUCUGGGGGUUAGGCCAGGGAAGCAUUUGUACAACACGCUCCCCUGAUGAUCUAGGCAUAAUAGUUUGAAAUUCACUGCUCUUUCACCAAUUCCGUUUGCAAUUUUUUUUUUUUUUUUUUUUUUUUUUUAAGGAAAAAGGUGCGCCAAGAAUAUAAGAGGGAAAAAAUAGGAGCGGUGGGGAGUGAGUCGUUCAAAGCUCUGUCCAGGAACCUGGCAGCGCUGGUGCUGUUGGCCUAUUUCGGCCCAGUAGGAACACUUGGGAGAGAAGAGAAAUAAGUCUGGGACGCCCCACGAGACCGUUAAAAGGUCGGGAGUCAACGGUCGAGGCCACGGCCCUCGGGGCCGCCAGGUCACAGGAAGUGCAGGACAAGCCCUGAGCAGCAAAGCAGACCCAGAUGCCCCGGGGCUCCCGGGAGCGGUGGGGAGUCAGGCGGCCGCUCCACUUCCGUUACCAUUGGCAACGGCGGCCUCCACCAAAGUCGGCGUGGCACGAAAAGGAGGGACUUCCCGGCUCUGGGAGCAAAUGCGCAUGCGGCUGUCGGCCGGUCACAAGGCACUUCCUGUCGCGUGAUCUUGAGGACCAAUAAAAGUGUAUAAUUCCAGGGUCACGUGCGUCGGUUGCCAUUAGCAACCGGAGGCUUCUAAACAACCCGCCCUCCCUCCGAGUCCUCUGCGGGCCAACUUCUCUUGGAGACGCCGGGCCUGGCGAAGCUGCGCCCGGCCUCUCUCGCUUUUCCGGACCGCUGACUCCUGUACGCCGCCAUGGCAGAGUUGGGUCUAAAUGAGCACCAUCAAAAUGAAGUUAUUAAUUACAUGCGUUUUGCUCGUUCAAAAAGAGGCUUGAGACUCAAAACUGUAGAUUCCUGCUUCCAAGACCUCAAGGAGAGCAGGCUGGUGGAGGAGACCUUCACCAUAGACGAAGUCUCUGAAGUCCUGAAUGGGUUACAGGCCGUGGUCCACAGCGAGGUGGAGUCGGAGCUCAUCAACACGGCCUACACCAAUGUGCUACUUCUGCGGCAGCUUUUCUCACAAGCUGAGAAGUGGUACCUCAGGCUACAGACAGACAUCUCUGAACUUGAAAACAGAGAAUUAUUGGAACAAGUUGCAGAAUUUGAAAAAGCAGAAUUUACAUCUUCAAAUCAAAAGCCCAUCAGAGAUAACAUAAAACCAAAACUUGCUCCACUUAACGAAGGUGGAACAGCAGAACUCCUUAACAAGGAAAUUUUAAGACUUCAAGAAGAGAAUGAGAAAUUAAAGUCAAGGCUGAAGACCCUUGAAACACAGGCAACAAAUGCAUUGGAUGAGAAGUCAAAACUAGAAAGAGCACUGCAAGAUUUACAGCUUGAUCAAGGAACUCAAAAGGAUUUUAUAAAGGCCCAAGACUUGAGUGACUUGGAAAACACAGUUGCUGCUUUAAAGAGUGAGUUUCAGAAGACACUUAAUGACCAGACAGAAAACCAGAAGUCCCUGGAGGAGAAUCUAGCGACGGCCAAGCAUGACCUACUCAGGGUGCAGGAGCAGCUGAGCAUGGCUGAAAAGGAAUUAGAGAAAAAAUUCCAACAAACAGCAGCUUAUCGAAACAUGAAAGAGAUUCUCACCAAGAAGAAUGACCAAAUCAAAGACCUGAGGAAAAGAUUGGCGAAAUAUGAACCUGAAGAUUAAAAACUGAAGAAGAUUUCGUCUGGAAGCUGCCACAACAUGAAAGUACAAGCUGUUUCUCACCUCAGUCCACGGACUUGAGGAGCCCCCAAAUGAGCAGGCAGCAGUCAUAACUUUGGGUCAAGUAGAACCCUUACUGUGUCUAGAAACAUUAAUCUCCAGUGCCUAAAGCUGUGGAAUCAUGAAGCACAAAAUCCCCACAUUUGAUCCUUCUGGGAUCCUGGCCUCCGUCAAACCAUUCACCGCUUUCAAAAGUCCAUAUAUAGGGGCUUCCCUGGUGGCACAGUGGUUAGGAAUCCAUCUGCUAAUGCAGGGCACAAGGGUUUGAGCCCUGGUCCGGGAAGAUCCCACAUGCCGUGGAGCAACUAAGCCCAUGCACCGCAACUACUGAGCCUGUGCUCUAGAUCCUGCGAGCCACAACUACUGAGCCCGUGUGCCACAACUUCUGAAGCCCAUGCACCUAGAGCUCGUGCUCCACAACAAGAGAAGCCACCACAAUGAGAAGCCUGCACACUGCAAAGAAGAGUAACCCCACUCGCCGCAACUAGAGAAAGACCGUGCGCAGCUACAAAGACCCAAUGCAGCCAAAAAUAAAUAAAUUUAUUUUUUUUAAAAAAAGUCCAUAUAUAUUCUUACGUCUGACCUCUUCUCCCUCCACACCAGAUUGAUUAAGU
RNA transcript from Physeter macrocephalus (sperm whale), 2678 nucleotides. It is a transcript of the gene named leucine zipper transcription factor like 1, with no coding region annotated. The record is from RefSeq and is a predicted model, not a curated record. Lineage: Eukaryota; Metazoa; Chordata; Mammalia; Artiodactyla; Physeteridae. The transcript is spliced from 12 exons.